AACUUUCAGCGACGGAUGUCUUGGCUCCCACAUCGAUGAAGAACGCAGCGAAAUGCGAUACGUCUUGCGAAUUGCAGAAUCCAGUGAAUCAUCAAAACUUUGAACGCACCUUGCGCUUCCGGGAUAUCCCUGGGAGCACGCCU
RNAcentral lists this ribosomal RNA (143 nucleotides) under Pseudochattonella verruculosa. RNAcentral describes it as "5.8S ribosomal RNA". It matches the Rfam family "5.8S ribosomal RNA". Rfam says of the family: 5.8S ribosomal RNA (5.8S rRNA) is a component of the large subunit of the eukaryotic ribosome. It is transcribed by RNA polymerase I as part of the 45S precursor that also contains 18S and 28S rRNA. Lineage: Eukaryota; Dictyochophyceae; Florenciellales. The record is from RNAcentral.